RNAcentral lists this ribosomal RNA (497 nucleotides) under uncultured bacterium. RNAcentral describes it as "partial 16S ribosomal RNA". It matches the Rfam family "Bacterial small subunit ribosomal RNA", at positions 28 to 507 of the family's 1533-position model. The record is from RNAcentral.
GAUGAACGCUGGCGGCGUGCCUAAUACAUGCCAGUCGAGCGAACAGACGAGGAGCUUGCUCCUCUGACGUUAGCGGCGGACGGGUGAGUAACACGUGGAUACCCUACCUAUAAGACUGGGAUAACUUCGGGAAACCGGAGCUAAUCCCGGAUAAUAUAUUGAACCGCAUGGUUCAAUAGUGAAAGACGGUUUUGCUGUCACUUAUAGAUGGAUCCGCGCCGCAUUGGCUAGUUGGUAAGGUAACGGCUUACCAAGGCAACGAUGCGUAGCCGACCUGAGAGGGUGAUCGGCCACACUGGAACUGAGACACGGUCCAGGCUCCUACGGGAGGCAGCAGUAGGGAAUCUGACGCAAUAGGCGAGAGCCUGACGGAGCAACGCCGCGUGAGUGAUGAAGGUGUUCGGAUCGUAAAACUCUGUUAUGAGGGAAGAACAAAUGUGUAAGUAACUAUGCACGUCUUGACGGUACCUAAUCAGAAAGCCACGGCUAACUACGUG